CUCUGGAGGGGGGAGGGGAGGCGACCGAGGCCUGCUGACCAGUGGGAGCCGCCAAGUUCGGCGGCGGCUAAGCCUGAGUGGCAGCCAUGGCGGCUGACCAUUGUUCCCCCCUUGGUGGCGGCCCCUCGAUCCAGGCGGGAGGGGGGGUGGCCCCCCAGCCGCGGGGCCCUUGGCAUUCCCGGCUGUCCCCCUCGCUCCCUGGCAGCCUAUUCUCCAGCUCCCCCUGGCCUCCCCGGGCCGGUUUCACAUGCCAACGCCGAUUUAGGCCCGAACAAAAGACGCGGCCGCUGACGGCUUCUCCUGGGGCCCGGUUGCCAUGGCAACGCCGGCCCCGGGGGCAGGCGGCCUCCAAUCACAGCUGCUGGAUCAGAUUAGUGCGGGCUCUAAUGCUCGGUGCUCAGACACAAAGACACCCCGCCGGAGCCGAGCUGGGGCCUGCAGCUUCCCAGGAGCGCCCUUCCCUCUGGGGCCCAGGCUCUGCCUGCCCUGCAUCUUGGACCCAGGUCCCCAAGGAGGCGCCUGAGCCAAGGCCUCUGGCCCCAACAGGUCAGCAUCCUCUGGCCUGCAGACCCCCCACCCGGCCACAGCUCACUGUCUUAUCUCCCAAGCCUGGUCCAGCUUGGCCUUCUGGGGAAAUUCACAUGUCAUGAUGGACAGAGCAAGGGACCCAACCCCUGGCCUAUCUCACCUGAAACACUCCAGCAGGCGGCCCUCCUUCACCCCCUGCUCUUCAGACAGACAGACCCCUUUGACACUUCCCCAUGGAACCUUCAAGUUUACACUGCUCGAUUUUUCUAGGGAUACCUUUAUUGUCUUAGUGGUACCACACCUCCUCCUGUUCAUGGCCUACCUCUUCCAAGGCCCAGAAAUGAAAUCUCAACACACCCAAGAGCUGAGGGCUAGUCAUCUAUCUGGGCCAGAGCAGACUUUGGGAUGUUUUUCUUCAGUCCCAAUACCUAAGGGAUCAGCACCAUCCCCAGCUCCCCACCUGGGAGCUGGCAGCCUUGAUGGAAUCCAUGGUGGAGAAUCUCAGAGCACCUUACUUGCCACCAAGGGGGGAAAUGAGACCUCCUUGAGAAGGAUCAUCCAGUCCUGGGGUGAUCUCAGCAAAGUCCAGACUCCUGGUACCAGACUUGGCCUUUCUUCCCAUCCCCGUAAGUCAAUGGCUUAAAAAACUAAGAUCUGGUCAGUCGGCAUGAUGUCUGGAAUUGAAUCUAAGGUCCUUGCCUUGCAUCACAA
Molecule: long non-coding RNA, 1239 nt
Organism: Peromyscus eremicus (cactus mouse)
Lineage: Eukaryota; Metazoa; Chordata; Mammalia; Rodentia; Cricetidae
Exons: 2
Source: RefSeq, a predicted model, not a curated record